RNAcentral lists this ribosomal RNA (374 nucleotides) under Xiphydria prolongata. RNAcentral's name for it is "partial 16S ribosomal RNA". Lineage: Eukaryota; Metazoa; Arthropoda; Insecta; Hymenoptera; Xiphydriidae. The record is from RNAcentral.
AUAAUCAUUAGUUUUUUAAUUAAAAUCUAGAAUGAAUGAUUGAAUGAAAAAUUAUCUGUCUCAUUAUUAAUAAUUUAAAAUUAAUUUUUAAGUAAAAAAGCUUAAAUUUUUUUAAAGGACGAGAAGACCCUAUAGAGUUUUAUAAAAAUUAAAUUUAUUUAAAUUUUUUUAUUAUAUAUUUAUAUAAUUUUUAUUUUAUUGGGGUGAUAAUAAAAUUAAAUUAACUUUUAUAAUUAAAUAUUCAUUAAUUUAUGAAAUUAAAAAAAAAUAAAAAUAUUAAUUAGAUGAUCUUAUAAUUUAGAUUAAUAGAAAAAAUUACCUUAGGGAUAACAGCAUAAUAAUUUUGGAGAGAUCAAAUCAAUAAAAUUUUUUAU